CAGGCCUAACACAUGCAAGUCGAGCGGGCAUCUUCGGGUGUCACACGGCGGACGGGUGAGUAACGCGUGGGAACGUGCCCUCUGGUUCGGAACAACUCUGGGAAACUGGAGCUAAUACCGGAUACGCCCUUUUGGGGAAAGGCUUGCUGCCGGAGGAUCGGCCCGCGUCUGAUUAGCUAGUUGGUGGGGUAACGGCCUACCAAGGCGACGAUCAGUAGCUGGUCUGAGAGGAUGAUCAGCCACACUGGGACUGAGACACGGCCCAGACUCCUACGGGAGGCAGCAGUGGGGAAUAUUGGACAAUGGGCGCAAGCCUGAUCCAGCCAUGCCGCGUGAGUGAUGAAGGCCUUAGGGUUGUAAAGCUCUUUUAUCCGGGACGAUAAUGACGGUACCGGAGGAAUAAGCCCCGGCUAACUUCGUGCCAGCAGCCGCGGUAAU
RNAcentral lists this ribosomal RNA (438 nucleotides) under uncultured bacterium. RNAcentral's name for it is "bacterial SSU rRNA". It matches the Rfam family "Bacterial small subunit ribosomal RNA", at positions 43 to 524 of the family's 1533-position model. The record is from RNAcentral.